AGCAGCCGCGGUAAUUCCAGCUCCAAUAGCGUAUAUUAAAGUUGUUGCAGUUAAAAAGCUCGUAGUUGAAUUUCGGGAUCAAUACGUCGGUCGUGCCUCUGGUAUGUACUGGUGUUAUUGAUUUCUCCCUUCUGAUGAAUCAUGAUGUCAUUAAUUUGGUGUCGUGGGGAGUCAGGACUGUUACUUUGAAAAAAUUAGAGUGUUUAAAGCAGGCUUACGCUUGAAUACAUUAGCAUGGAAUAAUGAAAUAGGACGUUCGAUCCUAUUUUGUUGGUUUCUAGGAUCAACGUAAUGAUUAAUAGGGAUAGUUGGGGGCAUUAGUAUUCAAUUGUCAGAGGUGAAAUUCUUGGAUUUAUUGAAGACUAACUACUGCGAAAGCAUUUGCCAAGGAUGUUUUCAUUAAUCAAGAACGAAAGUUAGGGGAUCGAAGACGAUCAGAUACCGUCGUAG
This 450-nucleotide ribosomal RNA is filed under the name uncultured Glomeromycotina. Its description in RNAcentral is "SSU rRNA". It matches the Rfam family "Eukaryotic small subunit ribosomal RNA", at positions 569 to 1023 of the family's 1831-position model. The record is from RNAcentral. Lineage: Eukaryota; Fungi; Glomeromycota.